GUCUCCGUUGGUGAACCAGCGGAGGGAUCAUUACCGAGUUUACAACUCCCAAACCCAAUGUGAACCAUACCAAACUGUUGCCUCGGCGGGGUCACGCCCCGGGUGCGUCGCAGCCCCGGAACCAGGCGCCCGCCGGAGGGAUCAACCAAACUCUUUCUGUAGUCCCCUCGCGGACGUUAUUUUUACAGCUCUGAGCAAAAAUUCAAAAUGAAUCAAAACUUUCAACAACGGAUCUCUUGGUUCUG
This 245-nucleotide unclassified non-coding RNA is filed under the name plant metagenome. RNAcentral's name for it is "partial contains small subunit ribosomal RNA, internal transcribed spacer 1, and 5.8S ribosomal RNA". The record is from RNAcentral.